RNAcentral lists this small nuclear RNA (26 nucleotides) under Arabidopsis thaliana (thale cress). RNAcentral describes it as "snRNA_14987". Lineage: Eukaryota; Viridiplantae; Streptophyta; Magnoliopsida; Brassicales; Brassicaceae. The record is from RNAcentral.
GUUUCGCCGCGGAGGCUUUGGCUUGU